GUUUAAUUAGCUCAGUAGGGAGAGCACGGGACUACGGAUCCCGGGGCCAUAGGUUCGAUUCCUAUAUUAAACG
RNAcentral lists this transfer RNA (73 nucleotides) under Naegleria gruberi. RNAcentral describes it as "tRNA-Arg (ACG) (tRNA-Arg-ACG-2-1)". It matches the Rfam family "tRNA". From Rfam's summary of the family: Transfer RNA (tRNA) molecules are approximately 80 nucleotides in length. Their secondary structure includes four short double-helical elements and three loops (D, anti-codon, and T loops). Further hydrogen bonds mediate the characteristic L-shaped molecular structure. tRNAs have two regions of fundamental functional importance: the anti-codon, which is responsible for specific mRNA codon recognition, and the 3' end, to which the tRNAs corresponding amino acid is attached (by aminoacyl-tRNA synthetases). tRNAs cope with the degeneracy of the genetic code in two manners: having more than one tRNA (with a specific anti-codon) for a particular amino acid; and 'wobble' base-pairing, i.e. permitting non-standard base-pairing at the 3rd anti-codon position. Lineage: Eukaryota; Heterolobosea; Eutetramitea; Acrasida; Naegleriidae. The record is from RNAcentral.